Paramuricea clavata is the source of this 446-nucleotide non-coding RNA. Lineage: Eukaryota; Metazoa; Cnidaria; Anthozoa; Malacalcyonacea; Plexauridae. The record is from the annotation of a GenBank genome assembly.
CCUGCUUGUGUUUAUUUUAGAAUAUGAGAACGAUUUACCACGCCUGAUGGCCUUUACACGCAUUUUGAUGUAGAUAUAGAACAUCAAAUAGGAAAAACAGGACGAAUCAUAGACUAUGUGAGAAGGAAUUUUGUGGUUAAACAACACGUGUGAACUAAAAUGUUUUGCUCCUAAUUUUAGAUUAGGUUUGCCUUUCCGUAAAGCACAGUCUGUAUAAAGUAUAUAUAAAUGUGUAAUGUUACAUAUUGUCGCUUGUGCUCCAAGCAAAAGAGAACAAGGAAAAGAGAGCUGUGCAUUUUCUUCCUUCGGCAAUUCUAUCGGCGCAUUUUAAAAUGAAAGGCGUUUGUUUUCCAUUGAGCUUCAUUUGGAUCGAUUGGCUCAACCAUAGUUCGUUCGACAAACGUGGUAUUAUCUUGAUUAUCCACGAUGAUGACAGUAUUCGUCCU